This 253-nucleotide ribosomal RNA is filed under the name uncultured bacterium. Its description in RNAcentral is "partial 16S ribosomal RNA". It matches the Rfam family "Bacterial small subunit ribosomal RNA", at positions 524 to 776 of the family's 1533-position model. The record is from RNAcentral.
UACAGAGGGUGCGAGCGUUAAUCGGAAUUACUGGGCGUAAAGCGCGCGUAGGCGGCUUUGUAAGUUAGAGGUGAAAGCCCGGGGCUCAACCCCGGAACUGCCUUUAAGACUGCAUCGCUUGAAUCCAGGAGAGGUGAGUGGAAUUCCGAGUGUAGAGGUGAAAUUCGUAGAUAUUCGGAAGAACACCAGUGGCGAAGGCGGCUCACUGGACUGGUAUUGACGCUGAUGUGCGAAAGCGUGGGGAGCAAACAGG